This 250-nucleotide unclassified non-coding RNA is filed under the name plant metagenome. RNAcentral describes it as "partial contains small subunit ribosomal RNA, internal transcribed spacer 1, and 5.8S ribosomal RNA". The record is from RNAcentral.
GUAGGUAUGUUAUAUCGAGAAAUCCCCUUCUACCUUGUGACUCUUGACUAAUAACUUUAAUAGGUGAACCUGCGGAAGGAUCAUUACUGAGUUAGGGUCCUCUGGGCUCGACCUCCAACCCUUUGUCUACCUUACCUCUUGUUGCUUCGGCGGGCCCGUCCCCUCUAGAAAUAGAGGACGACCGCCGGAGGGUGUCAUGCCCUCUGGCCCGCGCUCGCCGAUGGCCCCCAACCUAAAACUCUUGUUUUAA